RNAcentral lists this ribosomal RNA (650 nucleotides) under uncultured bacterium. RNAcentral's name for it is "bacterial SSU rRNA". It matches the Rfam family "Bacterial small subunit ribosomal RNA", at positions 414 to 1066 of the family's 1533-position model. The record is from RNAcentral.
UUCUAUGGAUCGUAAACCUCUUUUAUAAGGGAAUAAAGUGCGGGACGUGUCCCGUUUUGUAUGUACCUUAUGAAUAAGGAUCGGCUAACUCCGUGCCAGCAGCCGCGGUAAUACGGAGGAUCCGAGCGUUAUCCGGAUUUAUUGGGUUUAAAGGGUGCGUAGGCGGCCUUUUAAGUCAGCGGUGAAAGUCUGUGGCUCAACCAUAGAAUUGCCGUUGAAACUGGGGGGCUUGAGUAUGUUUGAGGCAGGCGGAAUGCGUGGUGUAGCGGUGAAAUGCAUAGAUAUCACGCAGAACCCCGAUUGCGAAGGCAGCCUGCCAAGCCAUUACUGACGCUGAUGCACGAAAGCGUGGGGAUCAAACAGGAUUAGAUACCCUGGUAGUCCACGCAGUAAACGAUGAUCACUAGCUGUUUGCGAUACACUGUAAGCGGCACAGCGAAAGCGUUAAGUGAUCCACCUGGGGAGUACGCCGGCAACGGUGAAACUCAAAGGAAUUGACGGGGGCCCGCACAAGCGGAGGAACAUGUGGUUUAAUUCGAUGAUACGCGAGGAACCUUACCCGGGUUUGAACGCAUUCGGACCGAGGUGGAAACACCUUUUCUAGCAAUAGCCGUUUGCGAGGUGCUGCAUGGUUGUCGUCAGCUCGUGCC